Molecule: ribosomal RNA, 411 nt
Filed under: bacterium Arh10(2010)
Lineage: Bacteria
Description: bacterial SSU rRNA
Rfam family: Bacterial small subunit ribosomal RNA
Source: RNAcentral
GACAUAUACCGGAAAGCCGUAGAGAUACGGCCCCCCUUGUGGUCGGUAUACAGGUGGUGCAUGGCUGUCGUCAGCUCGUGUCGUGAGAUGUUGGGUUAAGUCCCGCAACGAGCGCAACCCUUGUCCUGUGUUGCCAGCGCGUAAUGGCGGGGACUCGCAGGAGACUGCCGGGGUCAACUCGGAGGAAGGUGGGGACGACGUCAAGUCAUCAUGCCCCUUAUGUCCAGGGCUUCACACAUGCUACAAUGGCCGGUACAGAGGGCUGCGAUACCGUGAGGUGGAGCGAAUCCCUUAAAGCCGGUCUCAGUUCGGAUCGGGGUCUGCAACUCGACCCCGUGAAGUCGGAGUCGCUAGUAAUCGCAGAUCAGCAACGCUGCGGUGAAUACGUUCCCGGGUCUUGUACACACGAAA